GCGCAAUGGGCGAAAGCCUGACGCAGCAACGCCGCGUGGGGGAUGACGGCCUUCGGGUUGUAAACCUCUUUCGACAGGGACGAAGCUUUCGGGUGACGGUACCUGUAGAAGAAGCACCGGCUAACUACGUGCCAGCAGCCGCGGUAAUACGUAGGGUGCGAGCGUUGUCCGGAUUUAUUGGGCGUAAAGAGCUCGUAGGCGGUUUGUCGUGUCGGCCGUGAAAACCUGCAGCUUAACUGUGGGCGUGCGGUCGAUACGGGCAGACUUGAGUUCGGCAGGGGAGACUGGAAUUCCUGGUGUAGCGGUGAAAUGCGCAGAUAUCAGGAGGAACACCGGUGGCGAAGGCGGGUCUCUGGGCCGAUACUGACGCUGAGGAGCGAAAGCAUGGGGAGCGAACAGGAUUAGAUACCCUGGUAGUCCACGCCGUAAACGUUGGGCGCUAGGUGUGGGGACCAUUCCACGGUUUCUGUGCCGCAGCUAACGCAUUAAGCGCCCCGCCUGGGGAGUACGGCCGCAAGGCU
RNAcentral lists this ribosomal RNA (521 nucleotides) under uncultured bacterium. Its description in RNAcentral is "bacterial SSU rRNA". It matches the Rfam family "Bacterial small subunit ribosomal RNA", at positions 366 to 895 of the family's 1533-position model. The record is from RNAcentral.